RNAcentral lists this unclassified non-coding RNA (221 nucleotides) under Hevea brasiliensis (rubber tree). Lineage: Eukaryota; Viridiplantae; Streptophyta; Magnoliopsida; Malpighiales; Euphorbiaceae. The record is from RNAcentral.
CGCAACUAGAUUCACGACAUGAAAUGGCCGUAAUGCUAAAGUAAUUGCACUUGCAGUUAUCAGUAACUUCUCAUCUGUCUGAGAAGACAAAGUCACCUGAACAGAACUAGGAGUCUCAAGUUUACAAAUGUACCUCCUUACAGAAUUGUAUAGUCCACUUUUAAUACUUCCCAUGAACUGAACUAAAUCCCUAACAGCCAUUAAUGCACCCUGUAUAUUGG